Small nuclear RNA from Jaculus jaculus (lesser Egyptian jerboa), 103 nucleotides. The record is from Ensembl. Lineage: Eukaryota; Metazoa; Chordata; Mammalia; Rodentia; Dipodidae.
GUGCUGGCUUCAGCAGCACAUAUACUAAAAUUGGAACAAUACAGAGAACGUUAGCGUGGACCCUACUCAGUGCGGACACAUUCAUGAUACGUUCCAUAUUUUU